CCUACGGGAGGCAGCAGUGAGGAAUAUUCGUCAAUGGACGCGAGCCUGAACCAGCCACGUCGCGUGAAGGAAGACUGCUCUACGGUUUGUAAACUUCUUUUAUAAAGAAGUAAAGGGAGGCACGUGUGCCUUUUUGUACGUACUUUAUGAAUAAGGAUCGGCUAACUCCGUGCCAGCAGCCGCGGUAAGACGGAGGAUACGAGCGUUAUCCGGAUUUAGUGGGUUUAAAGGGUGCGUAGGUGGGGGGUUAAGUUAGUUGUGAAAGUCCGCGGCUCAACCGUAGAAGUGCAUGUGAUACUGGCAGGCUUGAGUGCAGUUGAGGUAGGCGGAAUGCAUGGUGUAGCGGUGAAAUGCUUAGAUAUCACGAAGAACACCGAUGGCGAAGGCAGCUUACUAAGCUGCCACUGACAUUGAGGCUCGAAAGUGUGGGGAGCAAACAGGAUUAGAUACCCCUGUAGUC
Molecule: ribosomal RNA, 460 nt
Filed under: uncultured bacterium
Lineage: Bacteria
Description: partial 16S ribosomal RNA
Rfam family: Bacterial small subunit ribosomal RNA
Source: RNAcentral